This is a long non-coding RNA of Solanum stenotomum, 330 nucleotides long. RefSeq lists it as uncharacterized. The record is from RefSeq and is a predicted model, not a curated record. Lineage: Eukaryota; Viridiplantae; Streptophyta; Magnoliopsida; Solanales; Solanaceae. The transcript is spliced from 3 exons.
CUGCUAUCAAUGUGUUGAAGAAAAUCUUAGGCCCCAUUUGAGACGGUUGGAAUUGUCUAAAACUGAAGAAAGUCAUCCAUGAAAACCUUAGACUAGCAUUGGAAGCAGUUGUCCAACAAAGAUACCUGCACAAAGAGAAAGUUAAUGGUCCAGAGGUAAUGCAACGUUUUAUGAACUUGCUGAGAGGUCACUAGAUGAGCCAGUUAACGAUGGAAUGAAAGAGCAUAUAUCAAAGGUUGUCUAAAAGCAAAAAGCACUUGUUGCUUUACAACUUUCAAGACGAAAGAGGAACAAAAAAUAGUCUAUGGUGAAUGAGGUUAGUUAGCAAAC